UCCGUAGGGUGCGAUCGUUAAUCGGAAUUACUGGGCGUAAAGCGUGCGCAGGCGGCUUUGCAAGACAGAUGUGAAAUCCCCGGGCUCAACCUGGGAACUGCAUUCGUGACUGCAAGGCUAGAGUACGGCAGAGGGGGAUGGAAUUCCGCGUGUAGCAGUGAAAUGCGUAGAUAUGCGGAGGAACACCAAUGGCGAAGGCAAUCCCCUGGGCCUGUACUGACGCUCAUGCACGAAAGCGUGGGGAGCAAACAGG
This 253-nucleotide ribosomal RNA is filed under the name uncultured bacterium. RNAcentral describes it as "partial 16S ribosomal RNA". It matches the Rfam family "Bacterial small subunit ribosomal RNA", at positions 524 to 776 of the family's 1533-position model. The record is from RNAcentral.